CUACGGGACGCUGCAGUGAGGAAUUUUGCGCAAUGGGGGAAACCCUGACGCAGCAACGCCGCGUGAGCGAAGAAGGCCUUCGGGUCGUAAAGCUCUGUCAAGUGGGAAAAAAAUUCUUUGAUGAACAGUCAAAGGACUUGAUGGUACCACUGGAGGAAGCACCGGCUAACUCCGUGCCAGCAGCCGAGGUAAUACGGAGGGUGCAAGCGUUGUUCGGAAUUACUGGGCGUAAAGAGCGUGUAGGCGGUUUGACAAGUCAGAUGUGAAAGCCCCGGGCUCAACCCGGGAAGUGCAUUUGAAACUGUUUCACUAGAGUAUGGGAGAGGAGAUUGGAAUUCCUGGUGUAGAGGUGAAAUUCGUAGAUAUCAGGAGGAACACCCGUGGCGAAGGCGAUUCUCUGGACCAAUACUGACGCUGAGACGCGAAAGCGUGGGGAGCAAACAGGAUUAGAUACCCCAGUAGUC
RNAcentral lists this ribosomal RNA (464 nucleotides) under uncultured bacterium. RNAcentral describes it as "partial 16S ribosomal RNA". It matches the Rfam family "Bacterial small subunit ribosomal RNA", at positions 339 to 795 of the family's 1533-position model. The record is from RNAcentral.